CCGCAUUUCUGCAGGCUUAAUUCUGAUACUUUGAAGAAUUUUCAAGCUCAAUUUUAGCUCUGGUUUACCUUCUCUCAAGAUCCUGGUAGUGUAGCCAUGGCUAUGCAGCAGCAACAUCUUGAUAAGAUGCAACUCCGCCAGAGUUAUCGUAAUCUCUGGCACACUGACCUAAUGCAUACCAUUCAGGCUGACACUCCCUAUUGCUGCCUUGCGUUGUGGUGUGGGCCUUGUGUAUCCUAUUUGCUUCGUAAAAGAGCUCUAUAUAAUGACAUGUCAAGAUAUAUGUGCUGUGCAGG
This 296-nucleotide unclassified non-coding RNA is filed under the name Hevea brasiliensis (rubber tree). Lineage: Eukaryota; Viridiplantae; Streptophyta; Magnoliopsida; Malpighiales; Euphorbiaceae. The record is from RNAcentral.